AACGAACGCUGGCGGCAUGCCUAACACAUGCAAGUCGAACGAGACCUUCGGGUCUAGUGGCGCACGGGUGCGUAACGCGUGGGAACCUGCCCUUAGGUUCGGAAUAACUCCCCGAAAGGGGUGCUAAUACCGGAUAAUGUCUUCGGACCAAAGAUUUAUCGCCUUUGGAUGGGCCCGCGUUGGAUUAGCUAGUUGGUAGGGUAAAAGCCUACCAAGGCGACGAUCCAUAGCUGGUCAGAGAGGAUGAUCAGCCACACUGGGACUGAGACACGGCCCAGACUCCUACGGGAGGCAGCAGUGGGGAAUAUUGGACAAUGGGCGGAAGCCUGAUCCAGCAAUGCCGCGUGAGUGAUGAAGGCCUUAGGGUUGUAAAGCUCUUUUACCCGGGAUGAUAAUGACAGUACCGGGAGAAUAAGCUCCGGCUAACUCCGUG
This 433-nucleotide ribosomal RNA is filed under the name uncultured bacterium. Its description in RNAcentral is "partial 16S ribosomal RNA". It matches the Rfam family "Bacterial small subunit ribosomal RNA", at positions 29 to 507 of the family's 1533-position model. The record is from RNAcentral.